CCUACGGGAGGCAGCAGUGGGGAAUAUUGCACAAUGGGGGAAACCCUGAUGCAGCGACGCCGCGUGAGUGAAGAAGUAUUUCGGUAUGUAAAGCUCUAUCAGCAGGGAAGAAAUAAAGUCCAUCGGACUCUGGACGGUACCUGACUAAGAAGCCGCGGCUAACUACGUGCCAGCAGCAGCGGUAAUACGUAGGGGGCAAGCGUUAUCCGGAUUUACUGGGUGUAAAGGGAGCGUAGACGGCAGCGCAAGUCUGGAGUGAAAUCCCAUGGCUUAACCAUGGAACUGCUUUGGAAACUGUGCAGCUUGAGUGCAGGAGAGGUAAGCGGAAUUCCUAGUGUAGCGGUGAAAUGCGUAGAUAUUAGGAGGAACACCAGUGGCGAAGGCAGCUUACUGGACUGUAACUGACGUUGAGGCUCGAAAGCGUGGGGAGCAAACAGGAUUAGAUACCCCUGUAGUC
RNAcentral lists this ribosomal RNA (457 nucleotides) under uncultured bacterium. RNAcentral describes it as "partial 16S ribosomal RNA". It matches the Rfam family "Bacterial small subunit ribosomal RNA", at positions 338 to 795 of the family's 1533-position model. The record is from RNAcentral.